UACGUAGGGGCCUAGCGUUGUCCGGAUUUAUUGGGCGUAAAGGGCUCGUAGGCGGCCAACUAAGUCAGACGUGAAAUCCCUCGGCUUAACCGGGGAACUGCGUCUGAUACUGGAUGGCUUGAGUUUGGGAGAGGGAUGCGGAAUUCCAGGUGUAGCGGUGAAAUGCGUAGAUAUCUGGAGGAACACCGGUGGCGAAGGCGGCAUCCUGGACCAACACUGACGCUGAGUGAGCGAAAGCCAGGGGAGCAAACGGG
This 254-nucleotide ribosomal RNA is filed under the name uncultured bacterium. RNAcentral describes it as "partial 16S ribosomal RNA". It matches the Rfam family "Bacterial small subunit ribosomal RNA", at positions 524 to 776 of the family's 1533-position model. The record is from RNAcentral.